GUGGGGAAUUUUGGACAAUGGGCGCAAGCCUGAUCCAGCAAUGCCGCGUGCAGGAAGAAGGCCUUCGGGUUGUAAACUGCUUUUGUACGGAACGAAACGGUCCUGGUUAAUACCUGGGGCUAAUGACGGUACCGUAAGAAUAAGCACCGGCUAACUACGUGCCAGCAGCCGCGGUAAUACGUAGGGUGCGAGCGUUAAUCGGAAUUACUGGGCGUAAAGCGUGCACAGGCGGUGCUGUAAGACAGGCGUGAAAUCCCCGGGCUCAACCUGGGAAUUGCGCUUGUGACUGCAGUGCUGGAGUACGGCAGAGGGGGAUGGAAUUCCGCGUGUAGCAGUGAAAUGCGUAGAUAUGCGGAGGAACACCGAUGGCGAAGGCAGUCCCCUGGGCCUGUACUGACGCUCAUGCACGAAAGCGUGGGGAGCAAACAGGAUUAGAUACCCCUGUAGUCC
Molecule: ribosomal RNA, 450 nt
Filed under: uncultured bacterium
Lineage: Bacteria
Description: bacterial SSU rRNA
Rfam family: Bacterial small subunit ribosomal RNA
Source: RNAcentral